RNAcentral lists this transfer RNA (72 nucleotides) under Lachnospiraceae bacterium. RNAcentral's name for it is "tRNA-Glu". It matches the Rfam family "tRNA". From Rfam's summary of the family: Transfer RNA (tRNA) molecules are approximately 80 nucleotides in length. Their secondary structure includes four short double-helical elements and three loops (D, anti-codon, and T loops). Lineage: Bacteria; Bacillati; Bacillota; Clostridia; Lachnospirales; Lachnospiraceae. The record is from RNAcentral.
GGCCCCAUGGUCAAGUGGUUAAGACAUCGCCCUUUCACGGCGGUAACAGCAGUUCGAACCUGCUUGGGGUCA